GGAGGGUAUAGCUCAGUGGUAGAGUGUGUGCUUAGCAUGCACGAGGUCCUGGGUUCAAUCCCCAGCACCUCCA
Molecule: transfer RNA, 73 nt
Filed under: Vicugna pacos (alpaca)
Lineage: Eukaryota; Metazoa; Chordata; Mammalia; Artiodactyla; Camelidae
Description: tRNA-Ala (AGC) (tRNA-Ala-AGC-477-1)
Rfam family: tRNA
About the family: Transfer RNA (tRNA) molecules are approximately 80 nucleotides in length. Their secondary structure includes four short double-helical elements and three loops (D, anti-codon, and T loops).
Source: RNAcentral